AUCUUUUUAAUUUUACUUUCAAAUCCACCUUCAAUUAAUUUUCAUAUUAAUAUCCAUUUAAAUAAUUUUAUUGUAAUUCAUUUCUACUUAAACAUAAGCUACACCUUGAUCUGAAAUAAAUUUUUAUAAAAAUUCAAGAAAAUUAUUAUUCUUUUAAAAUAUUCUGAUAACGACGGUAUAUAAACUGAUAACAAAUCUAAGUAAGGUCCAACGCGGAUUAUCAAUUAUAGAACAAAUUCCUCUGAAUAGACUAAAAUACCGCCAAAUUUUUUAAGUUUCAAGAACAUAUCUAUUAC
RNAcentral lists this ribosomal RNA (296 nucleotides) under Diasemopsis dubia. RNAcentral's name for it is "partial 12S ribosomal RNA". RNAcentral also lists the same sequence under 1 other name. The record is from RNAcentral. Lineage: Eukaryota; Metazoa; Arthropoda; Insecta; Diptera; Diopsidae.